AUUGAACGCUGGCGGAAUGCUUUACACAUGCAAGUCGAACGGCAGCACGGACUUCGGUCUGGUGGCGAGUGGCGAACGGGUGAGUAAUGUAUCGGAACGUGCCCAGUCGUGGGGGAUAACGUAGUGAAAAUUACGCUAAUACCGCAUACGAUCUAUGGAUGAAAGCGGGGGAUCGCAAGACCUCGCGCGAUUGGAGCGGCCGAUAUCAGAUUAGGUAGUUGGUGGGGUAAAGGCCCACCAAGCCAACGAUCUGUAGCUGGUCUGAGAGGACGACCAGCCACACUGGAACAGAGACACGGUCCAGACUCCUACGGGAGGCAGCAGUGGGGAAUUUUGGACAAUGGGCGAAAGCCUGAUCCAGCCAUUCCGCGUGCAGGAUGAAGGCCCUCGGGUUGUAAACUGCUUUUGUACAGAACGAAAAGGUUUCUACUAAUACUAGGAGCUCAUGACGGUACUGUAAGAAUAAGCACCGGCUAACUACGUGCCAGCCGCCGCGGUAG
Molecule: ribosomal RNA, 500 nt
Filed under: uncultured bacterium
Lineage: Bacteria
Description: partial 16S ribosomal RNA
Rfam family: Bacterial small subunit ribosomal RNA
Source: RNAcentral